AUCCUGGCUCAGAUUGAACGCUGGCGGCAGGCCUAACACAUGCAAGUCGAGCGGAUGAAAGGGGCUUGCUCCUGGAUUCAGCGGCGGACGGGUGAGUAAUACGCAGGAAUCUACCUAGUAGUGGGGGAUAACGUUUCGAAAGGGGCGCUAAUACCGCAUACGUUCUGAGGAAGAAAGCAGGGGAUCGCAAGACCUUGCGCUAUUAGAUGAGCUUGCGUCCGAUUAGCUAGUUGGUAGGGUAACGGCCUACCAAGGCGACGAUCAAUAGCUGGCGUGAGAGCGCGACCAGCCACACUGGAACUGAGACACGGUCCAGACUCCUACGGGAGGCAGCAGUAGGGAAUAUUGGACAAUGGAGGAAACUCUGAUCCAGCCAUGCCGCGUGAUAGAUGAAGGCCCUCUGGGUUGUAAAUAUCUUUUAUCUGGGAAGAAACAAUCUUAUUCUUAAGAUCUUGACGGUACCAGAGGAAUAAGCACCGGCUAACUCCGUG
This 491-nucleotide ribosomal RNA is filed under the name uncultured bacterium. Its description in RNAcentral is "bacterial SSU rRNA". It matches the Rfam family "Bacterial small subunit ribosomal RNA", at positions 16 to 507 of the family's 1533-position model. The record is from RNAcentral.